GAAAUUUAAACCCAUAAUCUGCACCUCCUUCACCCAAACAUCCUAGCAAGAGGGGCCGGAUUGGGCGACUUUUCUUUCUCAUUUAGCAAAAACUUCAGCCACCUUGGUUUCACUCUGUGCCAGGAAAAAAGACAGAUCUCGUCCUUGCCCCUGGAGAGUUUCCAGCCUCAAAGAGAAGGCCGACUCAGGGUUCAAUUACAAGGUGGGUGAGUGUUGUUGCUGGACUGUGUGGGGGGAGGGGGAGGAGGGGGCUCACCUAGCCUAGGCGUGGAGCGUGGAGCGAGACCUCCCUGGGGAGGUGACAUUUUGACGUUUAAGGCAAAACCUAAGGACAGGUAGGAGAACGCGGGGGCAGGCCAGGCCGUGCUCUGGGCGGCCAAGGGGAGGAGAGCCGGGAGAAGGGUGCCCAGGUUGAGCCAGAAGUCCCUGCCAGUGUGGCCAGCGGUGGCUACAGCAGUCAGGAUUUGGGGUUGUGCAGCGGCAGUGGGGCCCCACCGAGGGGUUUCCCUACUUGGCCUUUCCCACUGUCCGUUCCCGACGCCCCCGCUGCCACCUGCUCUGUCCUGGGCACACCUUCCGGUGCAUUUCGGCAGCGGUCGGCCACCCCGUGGGCCGCGGCGCGGAGCCCGGCUGCGGGGGCCCCGGGCUCCGGCAGCAGGUUGACCUGCGAAGCAAGGGACACCAACAAGGAGCAUGACAGCUUUUCUGGGCCCCCUCCUGGAGUCUUGAUGCUGGUGCCUCUACGAGAAAACCCAGUGAAAACAAGAAAGCAGAGCCAUGCUGGCCUGGGAAUGACCAUCUCACUCUUCAGGAGCCUUAAAACGAGAUCCGACUGAAUUCUGGACUCUCUCUGUUUUGGCAUCACAGCUCCUGGGGUCUUUGUAUCGAUGAUUCUCCCUUGGCUCAGAAAUAGC
This 914-nucleotide long non-coding RNA is filed under the name Zalophus californianus (California sea lion). Its description in RNAcentral is "lncRNA (ENSZCAG00015000763.1)". Lineage: Eukaryota; Metazoa; Chordata; Mammalia; Carnivora; Otariidae. The record is from RNAcentral.